This 497-nucleotide ribosomal RNA is filed under the name uncultured bacterium. RNAcentral's name for it is "partial 16S ribosomal RNA". It matches the Rfam family "Bacterial small subunit ribosomal RNA", at positions 28 to 507 of the family's 1533-position model. The record is from RNAcentral.
GAUGAACGCUGGCGGCGUGCCUAAUACAUGCAAGUCGAGCGAACAGACGAGGAGCUUGCUCCUCUGACGUUAGCGGCGGACGGGUGAGUAACACGUGGAUAACCUACCUAUAAGACUGGGAUAACUUCGGGAAACCGGAGCUAAUACCGGAUAAUAUAUUGAACCGCAUUGUUCAAUAGUGAAAGACGGUUUUGCUGUCACUUAUAGAUUGAUCAGCGCCGCAUUAGCUAGUUGGUAAGGUAACGGCUUACCAAGGCAACGAUGCGUAGCCGACCUGAGAGGGUGAUCGGCCACCCUGGAACUGAGACAGGGUCCAGACUCCUACGCGAGGCCGCAGUAGGGACUCUUACGCAAUGGGCGAAAGCCUGACGGAGCAACGCCGCGUGAGUGAUGAAGGUCUUCGGAUCGUAAAACUCUGUUAUUAGGGAAGAACAAAUGUUUAAGUAACUAUGCACGUAUUGACGGUACCUAAUCAGAAAGCCACGGCUAACUACGUG